GGCUUCGUGGUGUAGUUGGUAAUCACGUCAGUGCAACACACUGGACGGUCUCCAGUUCGAAUCUGGACGAAGCCA
RNAcentral lists this transfer RNA (75 nucleotides) under Hypoxylon rubiginosum. Its description in RNAcentral is "tRNA-Val". Lineage: Eukaryota; Fungi; Ascomycota; Sordariomycetes; Xylariales; Hypoxylaceae. The record is from RNAcentral.